GCAUAUCAAUAAGCGGAGGAAAAGAAACCAACAGGGAUUGCCUCAGUAACGGCGAGUGAAGCGGCAACAGCUCAAAUUUGAAAUCUGGCCCCCUCGGGGUCCGAGUUGUAAUUUGGAGAAGAUGCUUCGGGUGCGGCCCCGGUCUAAGUUCCUUGGAACAGGACGUCACAGAGGGUGAGAAUCCCGUACGUGCCCGGUGGUCGCCCCCAUGUGAAGCUCUUUCGACGAGUCGAGUUGUUUGGGAAUGCAGCUCUAAAUGGGUGGUAUAUUUCAUCUAAAGCUAAAUAUUGGCCAGAGACCGAUAGCGCACAAGUAGAGUGAUCGAAAGAUGAAAAGCACUUUGGAAAGAGAGUUAAACAGUACGUGAAAUUGUUGAAAGGGAAGCGCUUGCACCAGACUUGCGCGCGGCCGAUCAUCCGGUGUUCGCACCGGUGCACUCGACCGCGCGCAGGCCAGCAUCGGUUUGGGUGGCUGGACAAAGGCCUCGGGAAUGUGGCUCCCCUCGGGGAGUGUUAUAGCCCGAGGUGCAAUGCAGCCUAUCCGGACCGAGGACCGCGCUUCGGCUAGGAUGCUGGCGUAAUGGUUGUAAGCGACCCGUCUUGAAACACGGACC
This 613-nucleotide ribosomal RNA is filed under the name Oidiodendron sp. JCM 28196. Its description in RNAcentral is "eukaryotic LSU rRNA". It matches the Rfam family "Eukaryotic large subunit ribosomal RNA", at positions 38 to 667 of the family's 3401-position model. Lineage: Eukaryota; Fungi; Ascomycota; Leotiomycetes; Myxotrichaceae. The record is from RNAcentral.